AUUGAACGCUGGCGGCAGGCCUAACACAUGCGAGUCGAGCGGAUGAAGGGAGCUUGCUCCUGGAUUCAGCGGCGGACGGGUGAGUAAUGCCUAGGAAUCUGCCUGGUAUUGGGGGAUAACGUCCGGAAACGGGCGCUAAUACCGCAUACGUCCUGAGGGAGAAAGUGGGGGAUCUUCGGACCUCACGCUAUCAGAUGAGCCUAGGUCGCAUUAGCUAGUUGGUGGGGUAAAGGCCUACCAAGGCGACGAUCCGUAACUGGCCUGAGAGGAUGAUCAGUCACACUGGAACUGAGACACGGUCCAGACUCCUACGGGAGGCAGCAGUGGGGAAUCUUGGGCAAUGGGCGAAAGCCUGAUCCAGCCAUGCCGCGUGUGUGAAGAAGGUCUUCGGAUUGUAAAGCACUUUAAGUUGGGAGGAAGGGCAGUAAGUUAAUACCUUGCUGUCUUGACGUUACCAAAAGAAUAAGCACCGGCUAACUUCGUG
This 484-nucleotide ribosomal RNA is filed under the name uncultured bacterium. RNAcentral's name for it is "partial 16S ribosomal RNA". It matches the Rfam family "Bacterial small subunit ribosomal RNA", at positions 30 to 507 of the family's 1533-position model. The record is from RNAcentral.